This 494-nucleotide ribosomal RNA is filed under the name Marinobacter sp. Ar-127. RNAcentral describes it as "bacterial SSU rRNA". It matches the Rfam family "Bacterial small subunit ribosomal RNA", at positions 60 to 543 of the family's 1533-position model. The record is from RNAcentral. Lineage: Bacteria; Pseudomonadati; Pseudomonadota; Gammaproteobacteria; Pseudomonadales; Marinobacteraceae.
AGUCGAGCGGUAACAGGGGGAGCUUGCUCCCCGCUGACGAGCGGCGGACGGGUGAGUAAUGCAUAGGAAACUGCCCAGUAGUGGGGGAUAGCCCGGGGAAACCCGGAUUAAUACCGCAUACGCCCUUCGGGGGAAAGCAGGGGAUCUUCGGACCUUGCGCUAUUGGAUGUGCCUAUGUCGGAUUAGCUAGUUGGUGGGGUAAGAGCCUACCAAGGCGACGAUCCGUAGCUGGUCUGAGAGGAUGAUCAGCCACAUCGGGACUGAGACACGGCCCGAACUCCUACGGGAGGCAGCAGUGGGGAAUAUUGGACAAUGGGGGCAACCCUGAUCCAGCCAUGCCGCGUGUGUGAAGAAGGCUUUCGGGUUGUAAAGCACUUUCAGUGAGGAGGAAAACCUUACGACUAAUACUCGUGAGGCUUGACGUUACUCACAGAAGAAGCACCGGCUAACUCCGUGCCAGCAGCCGCGGUAAUACGGAGGGUGCAAGCGUUAAU